AAAAGGUUGACCUCGGAUCAGGUAGGAAUACCCGCUGAACUUAAGCAUAUCAAUAAGCGGAG
Molecule: ribosomal RNA, 62 nt
Filed under: Nemania sp. 5416
Lineage: Eukaryota; Fungi; Ascomycota; Sordariomycetes; Xylariales; Xylariaceae
Description: partial 28S ribosomal RNA
Rfam family: Eukaryotic large subunit ribosomal RNA (bases 8-62)
Source: RNAcentral